GAUGAACGCUAGCGGCAGGCUUAAUACAUGCAAGUCGUGGGGCAGCACAAAUAGCAAUAUUGGGUGGCGACCGGCAAACGGGUGCGGAACACGUACGCAACCUUCCUUCGAGCGGGGAAUAGCCCAGAGAAAUUUGGAUUAAUACCCUAUAAUAUUUUGAGAUGGCAUCAUCUUAUUAUUAAAGCUCCGGCACUUGAAGAUGGGCGUGCGCCUGAUUAGGAGUUGGCGGGGUAAUAGCCCACCAAGCCUUCGAUCAGUAACUGGUGUGAGAGCAUGACCAGUCACACGGGCACUGAGACACGGGCCCGACUCCUACGGGAGGCAGCAGUAAGGAAUAUGGGCAAUGGACGCAAGUCUGACCCAGCCAUGCCGCGUGGAGGAUGAAGGUCCUCUGGAUUGUAAACUUCUUUUAUCUGGGACGAAAAAGGAUUCUUUCCCGACUGACGGUACCAGGUGAAUAAGCACCGGCUAACUCCGUGCCAGCCG
RNAcentral lists this ribosomal RNA (486 nucleotides) under uncultured bacterium. Its description in RNAcentral is "bacterial SSU rRNA". It matches the Rfam family "Bacterial small subunit ribosomal RNA", at positions 28 to 514 of the family's 1533-position model. The record is from RNAcentral.